Non-coding RNA from Cinara cedri, 226 nucleotides. Lineage: Eukaryota; Metazoa; Arthropoda; Insecta; Hemiptera; Aphididae. The record is from the annotation of a GenBank genome assembly.
AACAUUAUUAUAGAACAAUACUCGACGCAGCUGUAGAUAUUUCCCAGACGUAUUUCCGCGAUUUAAGCUUUUAAAUAUUCAUCAAUCUGGUUAAGUCACAGAAAUGUUUAAAAUAUAUACUUUUUAUUUUAUAAAUUACUACAGUGAGUUUCCAACACGUUUAAAUAACUAUUGGAUGACAUAGAUAAAUGUGGUAUAUUUAUAACUCCGGUAAAAAGAUCGUCCC